RNAcentral lists this ribosomal RNA (264 nucleotides) under uncultured bacterium. Its description in RNAcentral is "partial 16S ribosomal RNA". It matches the Rfam family "Bacterial small subunit ribosomal RNA", at positions 793 to 1055 of the family's 1533-position model. The record is from RNAcentral.
GUCCUUGCCGUAAACGAUGUGUACUUGAUGUAGUUAGGCUCAACCCUGACUGUGUCGUAGCUAACGCGAUAAGUACACCGCCUGAGGAGUACGCUCGCAAGGGUGAAACUCAAAAGAAUUGACGGGGGCCCCGCACAAGCAGUGGAGCAUGUGGUUUAAUUCGAUGCAACGCGAAGAACCUUACCUGGGCUCGAAAUGCAGAGGGCGAUAUCAGAAAUGGUAUUUUCCGCAAGGACUUCUGUAUAGGUGCUGCAUGGCUGUCGU